RNAcentral lists this transfer RNA (70 nucleotides) under Bos taurus (domestic cattle). It matches the Rfam family "tRNA". Rfam says of the family: Transfer RNA (tRNA) molecules are approximately 80 nucleotides in length. Lineage: Eukaryota; Metazoa; Chordata; Mammalia; Artiodactyla; Bovidae. The record is from Rfam by way of RNAcentral. RNAcentral also lists the same sequence under 3 other names.
UCCCUUAGCUCAAAUGGUAAAGAAUCUGCCUGGAAUGCAGGAGACCCAGGUUCGAUCCCUGGAUCGGGAA